CCGUCCAGACUCCUACGGGAGGCAGCAGUGGGGAAUAUUGCACAAUGGGCGAAAGCCUGAUGCAGCUAUACCGCGUGUAUGAAGAAGGCCUUAGGGUUGUAAAGUACUUUCGUUGGGGAGGAAAAAUAAAUAGAUAAUACCUGUUUAUCGUGACGUUACCCAAAAAAGAAGCACCGGCUAACUCCGUGCCAGCAGCCGCGGUAAUACGGAGGGUGCGAGCGUUAAUCAGAAUUACUGGGCGUAAAGAGCUCGUAGGCGGUUGUUUAAGUCAGAUGUGAAAUCCCUGGGCUUAACCUAGGAACUGCAUUUGAAACUAAAAGACUAGAGUAUCGUAGAGGGAGGUAGAAUUCUAGGUGUAGCGGUGAAAUGCGUAGAUAUCUGGAGGAAUACCUGUGGCGAAAGCGGCCUCCUAAACGAAUACUGACGCUGAGGUGCGAAAGCAUGGGGAGCAAACAGGAUUAGAUACCCUGGUAGUCCAUGCCGUAAACGAUGUCGACUUGGAGGUUGUUUCCUUGAGAAGUGACUUCCGAAGCUAACGCGUUAAGUCGACCGCCUGGGGAGUACGGUCGCAAGGCUAAAACUCAAAUGAAUUGACGGGGGCCCGCACAAGCGGUGGAGCAUGUGGUUUAAUUCGAUGCAACGCGAAAAACCUUACCUGGUCUUGACAUCCACAGAAUUUUUCAGAGAUGAAAAAGUGCCUUAGGGAACUGUGAGACAGGUGCUGCAUGGCUGUCGUCAGCUCGUGUUGUGAAAUGUUGGGUUAAGUCCCGCAACGAGCGCAACCCUUAUCCUCUGUUGCCAUUGGUUCGGCCAGGAACUCAGAGGAGACUGCCGGUUAUAAACCGGAGGAAGGCGGGGACGACGUCAAGUCAUCAUGGCCCUUACGACCAGGGCUACACACGUGCUACAAUGGUGUAUACAAAGAGAAGCAACUCUGCAAAGACAAGCAAACCUCAUAAAGUACAUCGUAGUCCGGACUGGAGUCUGCAACUCGACUCCACGA
RNAcentral lists this ribosomal RNA (1003 nucleotides) under Buchnera aphidicola (Prociphilus erigeronensis). RNAcentral describes it as "bacterial SSU rRNA". It matches the Rfam family "Bacterial small subunit ribosomal RNA", at positions 327 to 1323 of the family's 1533-position model. Lineage: Bacteria; Pseudomonadati; Pseudomonadota; Gammaproteobacteria; Enterobacterales; Erwiniaceae. The record is from RNAcentral.